CGGGAUGUAGCGCAGCUCGGCUAGCGCGCCUGCCUUGGGCGCAGGAGGUCCCGGGUUCAAAUCCCGGCAUCCCGACUA
Molecule: transfer RNA, 78 nt
Rfam family: tRNA
About the family: Transfer RNA (tRNA) molecules are approximately 80 nucleotides in length. Their secondary structure includes four short double-helical elements and three loops (D, anti-codon, and T loops).